GGUAUUGAAAUAAGAUUUUAAAUGAGUGCUAAGAGAAUGAUUAAACAAUUAAAAACUUUCUUUAAUUAAAUAAUUAAAUUUAAUUUUUUUGGUGCAAAAGCAAAAAUAAAAUUUAGGGACAAGAAGACCCUAUGAAUUUUUAUUAUUAAUAUUAUGUAAUUAAAUUAUUAAUAAUUUAAUUGGGGUGAUAAAAAAAGAAUAAGUAUCUUUUUAAUUAUAAAAUAAGUUCCGUUUUUAGCGAUUAAAUGAAAAAAAUACUCUAGGGAUAACAGCGUAAUAAUUUUGGAUAGUUCAUAUAGAUAAAAUAGUUUGCGACCUCGAUGUUGGAUUAGGAUUCUUUUUUGGUGAAGAAGUUAAAAAAAGAAGUUUGUUCAACUUUUAAAUUCCUACUUGAUCUGAGUUCAGACCGG
Molecule: ribosomal RNA, 410 nt
Filed under: Ixodes scapularis (black-legged tick)
Lineage: Eukaryota; Metazoa; Arthropoda; Arachnida; Ixodida; Ixodidae
Description: partial 16S ribosomal RNA
Rfam family: Bacterial large subunit ribosomal RNA (bases 117-410)
Source: RNAcentral